Molecule: long non-coding RNA, 311 nt
Organism: Mandrillus leucophaeus (drill)
Lineage: Eukaryota; Metazoa; Chordata; Mammalia; Primates; Cercopithecidae
Exons: 3
Source: RefSeq, a predicted model, not a curated record
GCAAUUGGUACAGGAGAAGGGUCCUGAUCCAGACCCCAAGAGAGGCUUCUCGGAUCCUGUGCAAGAAAGAAUUCAGGUGACUGAGAACGCCUGACCAUCUGGGAAUGCAGCCCACUAGGUCUCAGCCUCAUUGUUCCCAGCUCCUGUUCAAGAUGGUGUCGCUCUGGUUCACACACCUCUGACACAGCCUCUGCCUCCUGCUUCAGCCUCCUAAGCAGCUGGGACUACAGUGCAUACCUAAUUUUCUCGACCUCUUUUAUGAAAUAUCCCCCCCGCCUUCCUCGACCCUGCCACCCCGAGGUUCCCGUGCA